This 447-nucleotide ribosomal RNA is filed under the name uncultured bacterium. Its description in RNAcentral is "bacterial SSU rRNA". It matches the Rfam family "Bacterial small subunit ribosomal RNA", at positions 355 to 825 of the family's 1533-position model. The record is from RNAcentral.
UCGGGAAUUUUGGGCAAUGGGCGAAAGCCUGACCCAGCAACGCCGCGUGAAGGAUGAAGUAUUUCGGUAUGUAAACUUCGAAAGAAUAGGAAGAAUAAAUGACGGUACUAUUUAUAAGGUCCGGCUAACUACGUGCCAGCAGCCGCGGUAAUACGUAGGGACCAAGCGUUGUUCGGAUUUACUGGGCGUAAAGGGCGCGUAGGCGGCAAUUCAAGUCAUCUGUGAAAUCUCCGGGCUUAACUCGGAACGGUCAGAUGAUACUGCUUUGCUAGAGUGCAGAAGGGGCACUCGGAAUUCUUGGUGUAGCGGUGAAAUGCGUAGAUAUCAAGAGGAACACCUGAGGUGAAGACGGGUUGCUGGGCUGACACUGACGCUGAGGCGCGAAAGCCAGGGGAGCAAACGGGAUUAGAUACCCCCGUAGUCCCUGAGCGGGCUGGCAAGGCGCAU